Long non-coding RNA from Cucumis sativus (cucumber), 1123 nucleotides. RefSeq lists it as uncharacterized. The record is from RefSeq and is a predicted model, not a curated record. The transcript is spliced from 4 exons. Lineage: Eukaryota; Viridiplantae; Streptophyta; Magnoliopsida; Cucurbitales; Cucurbitaceae.
CCCCCGCUUCCUUCUCUUUUCCCUUCUCGUUUCCCUUCUCCUUUCCUUCUCUUUUCUCUUUUCCUUCCGCCCUUCUCUUCCAUCUUUCUUUCCGCCGCAGCCCAGCCGCCCCAUCCUUCCCCUUCUCUCCGUUCGCGAAGCAAAACCGCCACCGACCGACCUCCAUUCCUCUUCUCCUUCCCGUUCGCAGCCCGCCGCAAACCGUCGCCUCCCUUCCCUUCCAUUUUCUUCUUCCAUCCGCAGCCCUGCCGCAAACCGCCGCGUCUCCCCUACUAAAGCCGAGCGCCGCGACCCUUCUCCUCUUCUCUUCAGUUCGCAAAGCAGCCGUACGCGUCCAGAUCUGCCGCCGUCCAGAUCUGCACCGCAAGACCGCGCCGUUGCCCUUCCGCCGCUGCCCGGUCCAGAUUUGCGCGUCGCCUGUACAGCCUCACCGCCGCUGCAACCGUUUCUACCGUCUCCUUCCCCUUCUCUCCGUUCGCGCAGCAACCGCCCCAACCGUCCUUCUCCUUCCGUUCGUGCCCAACCGCCGCCCCUCUUCUCCUUCCUCCCGUGCGCCGCGACGACCCCACCGUCUUCUUCUCUUCCGUUCGCAGCAGCCGUCGCGCCGCCGCGUCUCCCCUACUGAAGCCGAGCGCCGCGACCUCCAUUCCGAUCUGCUGUCUCCACCUCCGUUCGCGAAGCAAGACCGCGCCGCUGCCAGUCCAGAUCUGCGUUGCAGUCGUCCCGCGCGCCGAUCUGCCGUCUCCAUCUCCGUUCGCGAAGCAAAACCGCCGCCACUCGCCGAACCCAACCGCCACAAGGCCUUUGUAGUUGUGCUUUAGGCUGGAAAUUGCCGUUAUUCUAGAUCUAAAAGGAGCUUGGCUUGUCUCUCUCCAGUUGGUUAAAGGAAAGCUACCGGGAAGGCAGAUUUGUUGACGAGUUGCCUUACAUACUAAAUGAUGAUGACUACAUAUCGAAGUAUCGAGCCAGCCUAAAAGCUGCAGUUCUCAAGGCAAAAGCAUGUUUUUGAGCUUUAUUUGAAGGGUAUGAUGUUUGCAUAUCAGCUCACGCUCAACCACCACCUAAAACUCUAUCCCUGAUAGUCAAGUCAACCGGUGGAAAUGUGAUUCAUGAGCUAGAUAAA